GAUGAACGCUGGCGGCGUGCCUAACACAUGCAAGUCGAACGGAGAUUACGGACGGAAGUUUUCGGAUGGAAGCCUGUAAUUCUUAGUGGCGGACGGGUGAGUAACGCGUGGGCAACCUGCCCUAUACAGGGGGAUAGCAGCUGGAAACGGCUGGUAAGACCGCAUAAGUCGGUUAAAUCGCAUGAUUUGAUCGGGAAAUGAGCAAUCAGGUAUAGGAUGGGCCCGCGUCCGAUUAGCCAGUUGGCAGGGUAAAAGCCUACCAAAGCGACGAUCGGUAGCCGGACUGAGAGGUCGGACGGCCACAUUGGGACUGAGACACGGCCCAAACUCCUACGGGAGGCAGCAGUGGGGGAUAUUGCACAAUGGAGGAAACUCUGAUGCAGCGACGCCGCGUGAGUGAAGAAGUAUUUCGGUAUGUAAAGCUCUAUCAGCAGGGAAGAUGAUGACGGUACCUGACUAAGAAGCCCCGGCUAACUACGUGCCAGCAGCCGCGGUAAUACGUAGGGUGCGAGCGUUGUCCGGAAUUACUGGGCGUAAAGAGCUCGUAGGUGGUUUGUCGCGUCGUCUGUGAAAUUCCGGGGCUUAACUCCGGGCGUGCAGGCGAUACGGGCAUAACUUGAGUACUGUAGGGAGACUGGAAUUCCUGGUGUAGCGGCGAAAUGCGCAUAUAUCAGGAGGAACACCGGUGGCGAACGCCGGUCUCUGGGCUGUAUCUGACACUGACGAGCGAAACAUGCGCAGCGAUCUGGACUA
Molecule: ribosomal RNA, 753 nt
Filed under: uncultured Campylobacter sp.
Lineage: Bacteria; Pseudomonadati; Campylobacterota; Epsilonproteobacteria; Campylobacterales; Campylobacteraceae
Description: bacterial SSU rRNA
Rfam family: Bacterial small subunit ribosomal RNA
Source: RNAcentral